This 433-nucleotide ribosomal RNA is filed under the name uncultured bacterium. RNAcentral's name for it is "partial 16S ribosomal RNA". It matches the Rfam family "Bacterial small subunit ribosomal RNA", at positions 29 to 507 of the family's 1533-position model. The record is from RNAcentral.
AACGAACGCUGGCGGCAUGCCUAACACAUGCAAGUCGAACGAGACCUUCGGGACCAGUGGCGUACGGGUGUGUAACGCGUGGGAACAUGCCCUCAGGUUCGGCAUAACUCCCCGACAGGGGUGAUAACACCGGAUAAUGUCUACGGACCAAAGAUUUAUCGCCUUUGGAUGGGCCCGCGUGGGAUUAGCUGGUUGGUAGGGUAAAAGCUUACCAAGGCGACGAUCCAUAGCUGGGUAGUGAGGCUGGUCAGCCACACUGGGACUGAGACACGGCCUAGACUCCUACGCAAUGCGGCAGUGGGGGAUAGUGGAAAAUGGGCGAAAGCCUGAUCCACCAAUGCCGCGUGAGUGAUGAAGGCCUUAGAGUUGAAAAGCUCUUUUACCCGGGAUGAUAAUGACAGUACCGGGAGAAUAAGCUCCGGCUAACUCCGUG